RNAcentral lists this ribosomal RNA (450 nucleotides) under uncultured bacterium. RNAcentral's name for it is "partial 16S ribosomal RNA". It matches the Rfam family "Bacterial small subunit ribosomal RNA", at positions 354 to 796 of the family's 1533-position model. The record is from RNAcentral.
GUGGGGAAUUUUGGACAAUGGGCGCAAGCCUGAUCCAGCAAUGCCGCGUGCAGGAAGAAGGCCUUCGGGUUGUAAACUGCUUUUGUACGGAACGAAACGGUCCUGGUUAAUACCUGGGGCUAAUGACGGUACCGUAAGAAUAAGCACCGGCUAACUACGUGCCAGCAGCCGCGGUAAUACGUAGGGUGCAAGCGUUAAUCGGAAUUACUGGGCAUAAAGCGUGCGCAGGCGGUUUUGUAAGACAGGCGUGAAAUCCCCGGGCUCAACCUGGGAAUUGCGAUUGUGACUGCAAGGCUGGAGUGCGGGAGAGGGGGAUGGAAUUCCGCGUGUAGCAGUGAAAUGCGUAGAUAUGCGGAGGAACACCGAUGGCGAAGGCAAUCCCCUGGGCCUGCACUGACGCUCAUGCACGAAAGCGUGGGGAGCAAACAGGAUUAGAAACCCGGGUAGUCC